Molecule: long non-coding RNA, 227 nt
Filed under: Mytilus galloprovincialis (Mediterranean mussel)
Lineage: Eukaryota; Metazoa; Mollusca; Bivalvia; Mytilida; Mytilidae
Source: RNAcentral
UUUAUUUUAAGAAACAUCGAGUAUAUUCGAAAACUGGGUAAAUUAUGUCAGUGAACGGUUAUUUCAAGUCGUUUUUCUUCUUUAAAACAAUAUGUGUUGAAUUAGUUAUCUCAGUUGCUGAAUUAAGAAAUUGAGAGUUAUAAUACAGUUCGAUUGAAUUUAGAAUUAAAUACUAGAGAAACAAGACAAACGUGACAAAUAGUUCUAGGUAGAAUAUAGUAAAAGCA